This 1748-nucleotide long non-coding RNA is filed under the name Homo sapiens (human). RNAcentral describes it as "HSALNT0353222". Lineage: Eukaryota; Metazoa; Chordata; Mammalia; Primates; Hominidae. The record is from RNAcentral.
CCCGUAUUGAAGAACUUAGUGAAAAUACACAUCUCCUAAUUUUAAAUAUAUAUUCAAGAAUAGGACAAAUUAGAAACACUUUGGAAGUUUUAUUUUCCCCUCUAUGAUGACCUGCGAAUUUGAAUCUUGACCACCUUCACAAGCUAACAACGUCCACAAGCAAUUGCUUUACUUCAUUGCCAAGGUAACAUCUAGAAAUCUCCGUUCUGUCCUCUGAACAACUGUAGCGACCCAAGAAUCUAAUUUGGUGCCUCAUAAAUGAUUGUGUUCCAUCUCGACAGUUAUUUUUAAAUUCUACAAUAACACCAGCUCACAGGAUGUUGGCUUUUUCCUCCAGUAUUUCUGCUGUUCCCCAGCUGUUUGAAAUACGUUGUGGCUUUGACUUCUUCAAACUACCUCCUGUGAUGAAGAUUACCUUAAUUGCUUGUUUGUAGAAGAUUCAGUCAGAGACGUAAUAUGCUGUAACAAUUAUUAAUAGGUGAAGGCUGACAUUUUACAUUCCUCGUUAUUCUGUUAGCAGUUUCUUAUGACUACUUUUUGGCUUUUUAAAAACAUUUUGCCUUGAAGACAGAAGAUCCUUUGAAGGUUUGUGAUCACAAUGCUGUCAUCCCCUAAAAGGCCACAUCAUGGUCAGAGAAAAGGCUUAUUUAUUUCUGUCAAACAAUAUUCAACAACCAUUUAUUGAGCAUCUAUUAUGUGCCACACACUUGUCCAAGGUGUAGGGGGAUACCUAUGUAAACGUAUCAGAUUAGACUUUGCCCCCUUGGUGCCUACAUUCUAAUGGAGGAAACAGAAAACAAGCAUGCAAACAAAUCAAGUGUGUGAAAUAAUUUAACAUAAUGACAAUGCUAUGAAGAAAAAGCAGAAACCAUAAGCAACCAAUGUUUUUUUGUGUGUUUGUUUUUUCUCCCCAGAGCCAUUGUAUGCACGUAUAUAAAGUCCAAAUAUAUCCAGUAUUCCCCUUUCUUAUGCAAACAUUUUGGCAUACUGUACCAUACAUCCGUUUUUACUACCAUCUCUUUUCUGCUUAGCCAUAUAUCUCAGAGAUCAUUCCUUAUCACUACUUAAUGAAAUUCUUCAUUAUUUCUUAUAUGGCUACAACAUAUUCCAUUGUGCAGGGGUACAUAGCUUAUUUCACCAGACUUAUUUGAUAGAUAUUUAGAUCAUUUCUAGUCUUUUGCUCUCUCAGUCAAUGCUGUAAUGAAUAUCAUUUUGCAUACAUCAUUUUGCACAUGCAAAGGUGUACCUGUCAGAUAGCUAAGGUGUAACUGUCAGAGGUUAAAUUGUUAGAUCAAAAGUGUGUAUAUUUGUAAUUUUAAGUGAAUGCAUUUUAUGCUAUAACUUUUAUGAAUAGGUAAUAUUGUGUCCGGAAUUGGUGGGUUCUUGGUCUCACUGACUUGAAGAAUGAAGCUGCGGACGCUCGCGCUGAGUGUUACAGUUCUUAAAGGCAGCACUCCGGAAUUUGUUCCUUCUGAUGGUCGGAUGUGUUCAGAGUUUCUUUCCUCUGGUGGGUUCGUGGUCUCCUUGGCUCAGGAGUGAAGCUGCAGACUUUCGCGGUGAGUGUUACAGCUCUUAAGGCGGCGCGUCUGGAGUUGUUCCUUCCUUCCGGUGGGUUCGUGGUCUCCAUGGCUUCAAGAGUGAAGCUGCAGACAUUCACGGUGCUUGAGUGAUAGUCAAAUCUCCAUAUACCAAUCAUGGAGCAGAGGUGCUAUGAGAGAUUCCUAACUCCUGAAAAACUGUGACAAAGG